Molecule: ribosomal RNA, 732 nt
Filed under: uncultured Leptotrichia sp.
Lineage: Bacteria; Fusobacteriati; Fusobacteriota; Fusobacteriia; Fusobacteriales; Leptotrichiaceae
Description: bacterial SSU rRNA
Rfam family: Bacterial small subunit ribosomal RNA
Source: RNAcentral
GAUGAACGCUGACAGAAUGCUUAACACAUGCAAGUCUUUGGCGAAGCUGUGCUUGCACAGCCUAGCCAAGGCGGACGGGUGAGUAACGCGUAAGGAACUUGCCCUGCAGUCAGGGAUAACAGACGGAAACGACUGAUAAGACCUGGUAAAGUCAGGCGGACUCAUGUCCAGCCUGAUGAAAAGAAAUGCUGCAGGAGAGCCUUGCGUCCUAUUAGCUUGUUGGUGGGGUAACGGCCCACCAAGGCGAUGAUAGGUAGCCGGCCUGAGAGGGUGGACGGCCACAAGGGGACUGAGAUACGGCCCUUACUCCUACGGGAGGCAGCAGUGGGGAAUAUUGGACAAUGGGGGCAACCCUGAUCCAGCAAUUCUGUGUGCACGAUGAAGGUUUUCGGAUUGUAAAGUGCUUUCAGCAGGGAAGAAAAAAAUGACGGUACCUGCAGAAGAAGCGACGGCUAAAUACGUGCCAGCAGCCGCGGUAAUACGUAUGUCGCAAGCGUUAUCCGGAAUUAUUGGGCAUAAAGGGCAUCUAGGCGGCCAGAUAAGUCUGGGGUGAAAACUUGCGGCUCAACCGCAAGCCUGCCCUGGAAACUAUGUGGCUAGAGUACUGGAGAGGUGGACGGAACUGCACGAGUAGAGGUGAAAUUCGUAGAUAUGUGCAGGAAUGCCGAUGAUGAAGAUAGUUCACUGGACGGUAACUGACGCUGAAGUGCGAAAGCUAGGGGAGCAAACAGG